UAUUUUUAGUUUUACAUUGAUUAUAUUUAAAAGUUUAUGUAAUUAGAAUAUGAUUUGUAAUUAUCGGAAGUAAAAGUUGGAUUUAUCAUUUGUUAUGAUUUGAUAGCUAUUUUACAUCUAAACACUUUCGGUCCCCGCCUCCAAAUGGAAUAAAUUAACUUGAGCAGUUUCAAUGAUUCCGAUCUGUCGCAACUUCCGAUGCCUCUGAACCGCUAAACCCUCCUCUGCCAACAUCGCUGUACAACGUUAUCCUAAAAUGGGUUGAUUGGCUUGUUCUAAAGGGAACUGAAUAUGAAUCCAAAACGAAAUGUAGAUGAUACGGGACAACAAUUUUCCCAUAUAACUUGGCAUCAAAAAUCAGAUCCAUCUCUAAAUUUGUUUGAGAAGAUAAAAUAUUUUAAAAUUUAAAUAAUACCUUAACAACUUUUUUUUUUAAUCGAUUGCGAGUGAUGGUCAUCGCUUAAUCAUAUUUUGUAAGGCGCAAAAUUAAGAAAUUUGCUCCGGUGGUAGAACUUGAUUUGUGAAUAUCAGCUCCCUUCAUCAAAUAUCCGUUCAUAAAGCAAAUAGCAAAAGGGGCUUGGUGGUUGGUAUCGGAGGUCUCAAAUUCGAAUCCUAAUUGAUUCACAUUUUCAGCUAAAUUUAUUUCUAAAUAAAAUAAACGAAGGUAGCGUGCUACCUAUCUCUCUCAAAAAAAAAAAAAAAAA
Molecule: long non-coding RNA, 704 nt
Filed under: Ananas comosus (pineapple)
Lineage: Eukaryota; Viridiplantae; Streptophyta; Magnoliopsida; Poales; Bromeliaceae
Description: long non-coding RNA (ACOM_LNC002619)
Source: RNAcentral